UACGUAGGGACCGAGCGUUGUCCGGAAUCAUUGGGCGUAAAGAGCGUGUAGGCGGCCACUUAAGUCCUGCGUGAAAUCUUGCGGCUCAACCGCAAGCGGUCGUGGGAAACUGGGUGGCUAGAGUGCGGGAGAGGAGAGUGGAAUUCCUGGUGUAGCGGUGGAAUGCGCAGAUAUCAGGAAGAACACCGGUGGCGAAGGCGGGUCUCUGGGCCGAUACUGACGCUGAGGCACGAAGGCCAGGGGAGCAAACGGG
RNAcentral lists this ribosomal RNA (253 nucleotides) under uncultured bacterium. RNAcentral describes it as "partial 16S ribosomal RNA". It matches the Rfam family "Bacterial small subunit ribosomal RNA", at positions 524 to 776 of the family's 1533-position model. The record is from RNAcentral.